RNAcentral lists this ribosomal RNA (2931 nucleotides) under Enterobacter asburiae. RNAcentral's name for it is "bacterial LSU rRNA". It matches the Rfam family "Bacterial large subunit ribosomal RNA". Lineage: Bacteria; Pseudomonadati; Pseudomonadota; Gammaproteobacteria; Enterobacterales; Enterobacteriaceae. The record is from RNAcentral.
GGGUUGUGAGGUUAAGCGACUAAGCGUACACGGUGGAUGCCCUGGCAGUCAGAGGCGAUGAAGGACGUGCUAAUCUGCGAAAAGCGCCGGCGAGGUGAUAUGAACCUUUGACCCGGCGAUGUCCGAAUGGGGAAACCCAGUGCAAUUCGUUGCACUAUCGUUAACUGAAUACAUAGGUUAACGAGGCGAACCGGGGGAACUGAAACAUCUAAGUACCCCGAGGAAAAGAAAUCAACCGAGAUUCCCCCAGUAGCGGCGAGCGAACGGGGAGCAGCCCAGAGUCUGAAUCAGCUUGUGUGUUAGUGGAAGCGUCUGGAAAGUCGCACGGUACAGGGUGACAGUCCCGUACACGAAAGCACACAGGCUGUGAACUCGAAGAGUAGGGCGGGACACGUGGUAUCCUGUCUGAAUAUGGGGGGACCAUCCUCCAAGGCUAAAUACUCCUGACUGACCGAUAGUGAACCAGUACCGUGAGGGAAAGGCGAAAAGAACCCCGGCGAGGGGAGUGAAAAAGAACCUGAAACCGUGUACGUACAAGCAGUGGGAGCACCUUCGUGGUGUGACUGCGUACCUUUUGUAUAAUGGGUCAGCGACUUAUAUUCUGUAGCAAGGUUAACCGUAUAGGGGAGCCGAAGGGAAACCGAGUCUUAACUGGGCGUUAAGUUGCAGGGUAUAGACCCGAAACCCGGUGAUCUAGCCAUGGGCAGGUUGAAGGUUGGGUAACACUAACUGGAGGACCGAACCGACUAAUGUUGAAAAAUUAGCGGAUGACUUGUGGCUGGGGGUGAAAGGCCAAUCAAACCGGGAGAUAGCUGGUUCUCCCCGAAAGCUAUUUAGGUAGCGCCUCGUGAACUCAUCUUCGGGGGUAGAGCACUGUUUCGGCUAGGGGGCCAUCCCGGCUUACCAACCCGAUGCAAACUACGAAUACCGAAGAAUGUUAUCACGGGAGACACACGGCGGGUGCUAACGUCCGUCGUGAAGAGGGAAACAACCCAGACCGCCAGCUAAGGUCCCAAAGUCAUGGUUAAGUGGGAAACGAUGUGGGAAGGCACAGACAGCCAGGAUGUUGGCUUAGAAGCAGCCAUCAUUUAAAGAAAGCGUAAUAGCUCACUGGUCGAGUCGGCCUGCGCGGAAGAUGUAACGGGGCUAAACCAUGCACCGAAGCUGCGGCAGCGACGCUUAUGCGUUGUUGGGUAGGGGAGCGUUCUGUAAGCCGUUGAAGGUGUCCUGUGAGGGGUGCUGGAGGUAUCAGAAGUGCGAAUGCUGACAUAAGUAACGAUAAAGCGGGUGAAAAGCCCGCUCGCCGGAAGACCAAGGGUUCCUGUCCAACGUUAAUCGGGGCAGGGUGAGUCGACCCCUAAGGCGAGGCCGAAAGGCGUAGUCGAUGGGAAACAGGUUAAUAUUCCUGUACUUGGUGUUACUGCGAAGGGGGGACGGAGAAGGCUAUGUUAGCCGGGCGACGGUUGUCCCGGUUUAAGCAUGUAGGCGGAGGUUCCAGGUAAAUCCGGUACCUUUUAACGCUGAGGUGUGAUGACGAGGCACUACGGUGCUGAAGUAACAAAUGCCCUGCUUCCAGGAAAAGCCUCUAAGCAUCAGGUAACACGAAAUCGUACCCCAAACCGACACAGGUGGUCAGGUAGAGAAUACCAAGGCGCUUGAGAGAACUCGGGUGAAGGAACUAGGCAAAAUGGUGCCGUAACUUCGGGAGAAGGCACGCUGAUAUGUAGGUGAAGCCCCUGCGGGUGGAGCUGAAAUCAGUCGAAGAUACCAGCUGGCUGCAACUGUUUAUUAAAAACACAGCACUGUGCAAACACGAAAGUGGACGUAUACGGUGUGACGCCUGCCCGGUGCCGGAAGGUUAAUUGAUGGGGUUAGCGGCAACGCGAAGCUCUUGAUCGAAGCCCCGGUAAACGGCGGCCGUAACUAUAACGGUCCUAAGGUAGCGAAAUUCCUUGUCGGGUAAGUUCCGACCUGCACGAAUGGCGUAAUGAUGGCCAGGCUGUCUCCACCCGAGACUCAGUGAAAUUGAACUCGCUGUGAAGAUGCAGUGUACCCGCGGCAAGACGGAAAGACCCCGUGAACCUUUACUAUAGCUUGACACUGAACACUGGUCCUUGAUGUGUAGGAUAGGUGGGAGGCUUUGAAGCGUGGACGCCAGUCUGCGUGGAGCCGUCCUUGAAAUACCACCCUUUAAUGGCUGGUGUUCUAACGUAGACCCGUAAUCCGGGUUGCGGACAGUGUCUGGUGGGUAGUUUGACUGGGGCGGUCUCCUCCCAAAGAGUAACGGAGGAGCACGAAGGUUAGCUAAUCCUGGUCGGACAUCAGGAGGUUAGUGCAAUGGCAUAAGCUAGCUUGACUGCGAGAGUGACGGCUCGAGCAGGUGCGAAAGCAGGUCAUAGUGAUCCGGUGGUUCUGAAUGGAAGGGCCAUCGCUCAACGGAUAAAAGGUACUCCGGGGAUAACAGGCUGAUACCGCCCAAGAGUUCAUAUCGACGGCGGUGUUUGGCACCUCGAUGUCGGCUCAUCACAUCCUGGGGCUGAAGUAGGUCCCAAGGGUAUGGCUGUUCGCCAUUUAAAGUGGUACGCGAGCUGGGUUUAGAACGUCGUGAGACAGUUCGGUCCCUAUCUGCCGUGGGCGCUGGAGAAUUGAGGGGGGCUGCUCCUAGUACGAGAGGACCGGAGUGGACGCAUCACUGGUGUUCGGGUUGUCAUGCCAAUGGCACUGCCCGGUAGCUAAAUGCGGAAAAGAUAAGUGCUGAAAGCAUCUAAGCACGAAACUUGCCCCGAGAUGAGUUCUCCCUGACCCUUUAAGGGUCCUGAAGGAACGUUGAAGACGACGACGUUGAUAGGUCGGGUGUGUAAGCGCAGCGAUGCGUUGAGCUAACCGAUACUAAUGAACCGUGAGGCUUAACCUUACAACGCCGAAGCUGUU